GCGGGGGUGGCGAAACUGGUAAACGCUCCGGAUUUGGAAUCCGGUGGAGCGGCCCUGACAAGCCAUACGCUCCUUGCGGGUUCAAGACCCGUCCCCCGCA
This 100-nucleotide transfer RNA is filed under the name Gemmatimonadota bacterium. RNAcentral's name for it is "Gemmatimonadetes bacterium (soil metagenome) tRNA-Pro". It matches the Rfam family "tRNA". Rfam says of the family: Transfer RNA (tRNA) molecules are approximately 80 nucleotides in length. Their secondary structure includes four short double-helical elements and three loops (D, anti-codon, and T loops). Further hydrogen bonds mediate the characteristic L-shaped molecular structure. tRNAs have two regions of fundamental functional importance: the anti-codon, which is responsible for specific mRNA codon recognition, and the 3' end, to which the tRNAs corresponding amino acid is attached (by aminoacyl-tRNA synthetases). tRNAs cope with the degeneracy of the genetic code in two manners: having more than one tRNA (with a specific anti-codon) for a particular amino acid; and 'wobble' base-pairing, i.e. permitting non-standard base-pairing at the 3rd anti-codon position. Lineage: Bacteria; Pseudomonadati; Gemmatimonadota. The record is from RNAcentral.